Molecule: ribosomal RNA, 253 nt
Filed under: uncultured bacterium
Lineage: Bacteria
Description: partial 16S ribosomal RNA
Rfam family: Bacterial small subunit ribosomal RNA
Source: RNAcentral
UACAUAGGUCCCAAGCGUUGUUCGGAUUCACUGGGCGUAAAGGGUGCGUAGGUGGUAGGGUAAGUUUGAUGUGAAAGCUCCGAGCUCAACUCGGAAAUUGCAUCGAAUACUAUUCCACUAGAGGGUUGUAGGGGGGACUGGAAUUCUCGGUGUAGCAGUGAAAUGCGUAGAUAUCGAGAGGAACACCAGUGGCGAAGGCGAGUCCCUGGACAACUCCUGACACUGAGGCGCGAAAGCUAGGGGAGCAAACAGG